AUGGCCACUUAUCACCAAGAAGGGCAGAUGCAGCUGCCCCUAGCUGAUGCCAUUCGUUCAUGUCUCAUCGAUACUUUCUCAUCUAGCAUUUGCAAGGCUUGAGCCAAGCUGUGCCGUGGCACACUAUCAGGGAGUUACUUCAUCCUUCCCACCAGAAGAAACUUAUGUUGGGAGAUCAACACCAGCUAGUGUGCUUCUCCAUAAAGCCUCAACGUAUAGGACAGAUUUCACAUGCCCAGAGGCUGUUGAGCAGGCUUCAUGUGCGCUGCACUCAGAGGCCACCUCUUUCUUUGUGGGCCGGAUGGGUCCUUGAGUGUCCUCUCUUCACAAACUUCGUCAUCUUCCUCAUCUUUUUGAAUAUGAUCGUAUUGAUGGUUGAAAUAGAAUUGCUGGAAUCCACAAAUACCUAACUGUGGCUAUUGAAGCUGAGCUUGGAGGUGGCAACUUGGUUUAUCUUGUUUAUUUUCAUCCUGGAGAUCCUUCUUAUGUGGCUAUCCUAGCUUUUCCUUUUUCCGGAAGAGUGUCUGGAAUGUCUUUGACUUUGUUGUUACCAUGUUGUGCAGGCACUGAUGAACUUGGAAGACAA
RNAcentral lists this long non-coding RNA (586 nucleotides) under Homo sapiens (human). RNAcentral describes it as "non-protein coding lnc-DMXL1-6:1". Lineage: Eukaryota; Metazoa; Chordata; Mammalia; Primates; Hominidae. The record is from RNAcentral.